Molecule: long non-coding RNA, 2903 nt
Organism: Pecten maximus
Lineage: Eukaryota; Metazoa; Mollusca; Bivalvia; Pectinida; Pectinidae
Exons: 4
Source: RefSeq, a predicted model, not a curated record
GAUCACGUGAUCUUUGAUAGCGUCACUCUCUCAGAAAAUUCCCGCAGGUCAAAAGGUAGGCGCCAUCUUAAUAUUGAUUUAUUUACGUUUGCCAAGUUUGUUUAUCUUCCGGGUCACAACCUUUUUGCUCGGUCAUGCAUGUGAAGGUGUUAGUGAUGGGCCAUAGUUAUAUUAGAAGGCUCGGGGAGGCGGUGAACGGUUCUAAUUCAAACUGGACUAAUCUUCGUUUGUCGGACGAUGAUGUUUUGGUUUCAUUUAAAGGCAAGGGAGGCGGCAAGGUGCGCGAUAUGGUAUCAGGGGAAUUUUCAAGAGUUGUAACACACGUCAAACCUGAUAUUGUUGUUCUGCAAAUAGGCGGAAAUGAUUUGGACAAUACCAAUGUGGUCCCGGCAAAAAUAGCACAGGACAUUAUGUCGGUGGCUGGCUGGCUAGUGUCUGGACAUGCCGUCCGCCAUGUUUGUAUUAUGCAGCUUUUGCCCCGAGAAAGGACAAGGCAGUUAUCGCCAAGUCGGUAUAAUGAGUUGGUUCGUCAAGUGAAUCGGGAGUUGAAGGACGUUAUAUCACGGAUACAUCAUAUAUCUUACCACAAGCACAAGGGACUAAAGGCCAGUAUAAAUAACGUGUUUCUGCCAGAUGGGGUGCAUUUGAACAAUUCCUGUGGACUACCUAAAUAUAUCAGGAGUGUUCGGGGAGCGGUUUUCUCAUCAUAUCGGAGAAUUUCCAAUUAGAUCAACCACGAUAUGGAGAAUAACCAUGCCACCUACACGCCCAUCUAGAAAGGCCAAGGAACGGCAUGCAUUGGUACGUCCUGGUAAGAGACAAAGAGCAACAAAGAUCAGCGAAGAUAUUGAGGAACAGGUGACGAUUGUGGGGAAUUCGCCUAACCAAGACACAGCAUCAGCCUCCAGUGCCUUAAUAGCACUGCCACCAUCACCAGCCAUUCCUGGGGUGUCAGAAUUGGCUGCUGAAAUGCUUAGACAGAUGAAGGCAGAUGGACUGAUAAUGAGGUCAGCAAAUCUGAUGGGGCCAACUGUGCCCGUACAAAUGUACCUGCCACAUCUACUGCCCCUCAAACCCAUACAACGCCUAAAGCCACCAUGAGUCAUUCCUCCACAGCAAGGGAAGGUCUUACCUCAGUGGAACGGCCAGAACAGGUCGGAGUAGCCAUCUCUGAUGUAAACUCCAGCACAUUUGCCAAAGAAGCCAUCAGUUCCCUGACAGGUACACCAGCUCUAAAUAGCAACAAUUUUUCAAUGAACUCGAUCUCCCGCCCUCUUGAUGUGAAUGUUGAUAUACGUUUAAAACAAAAAAUUUGGGCUGAGCAAUUUGUUGAGUUUGGGGCCUUAGUUCAGGUUAAGCAUAAUGAGACUUAUGAGCUCACUAUGGAGGCAAAUAAUUUAGCUUUGGUCCCAAAAUCACGCCCAGUCCCUAUUCGAACAAUGGAUCAAUGGAAUGCAGCAUUCCAAGUUUUUGUUACAAUAGUGGUACAGGGUAAGCCGGAAUUGGCAGCUCCUUUAACCCCUUAACUCCCAACUACGCCAAACUACGCCUAUAGCACUUCGGUGCAAGAUAAAUGGUCGUAUCUCCUUUAUUUGUUAACCUAUUAAAAUACCGAAUAUACCUAGUAAAACAGGAGAAAAUAUCCAACAACAUUUGUUCUUUGUAAAAUUUCAUUUGACAAACUUUUUUGAUGCAUUUCAUGAGUUGAAAAAACAAGCCAACUUUUAUUUCGACUAUUUUGAAUUGUUGACGUCGUGUUUCAGCCGGCGAAAUCGUCACAGCGCGGAUUCGAUUUUGUAUCUCUCAUUACAUAAAAUAUAGCGAGAUGUAAUGCCUGUAAUUCACAGUAGUGGUAGUUUAUACUCUCAAUUUUAUGUUUAUUCCACUAUUUUACAGGAAUCCUCCAAAAUGUGAUGUUUUUUGUCAAUAAAGUAUAUGUGAUGUAUGGUUCUAUACCGUACGCAGCACAAAUCGACAAAUUUUAAUGAUUUUUUCAUAAGAAAUAGUAAUACAUUAUAUAUACAAUUGAGGCCAAGAAAAAACUAAUCAAAAUGCACAAUUCUAUCAUUCAUAACGUACCAAAUAAAUGAUGCAAGGUUUCUACAAAUCCGCAUUAUAUGAACGAAACACCGCAGUAACUUGAAUUGACGUCGUGCAAGAGCGAGUCGAUAACAAGCACUUGCGCGAGUACGAUCGACAACUUUUAAUUUCUGCUGUUUUCAUAACGCAAUAAAUGGUCUUGGUUUCAUCAGAACAAAUUACUUUUGUCUCAAGAUAAGUAAAGUGAUAGCACGUAAUUUGAUAUCUACAAAUAAAAAAUAAAUAAAAAUAAAGCCGACGACAGCAAAAGCUAUUUAUAGUAAUCGGGUAUUUCCUAGAUGAUCACUUUCGGUUUCUAAACGGUGAGACGGACAUGUGCCUGGUGCCGAUUGAUUUCGCGGACCUCACAUAUUACCGAUACAAGUCGUCACCAAAACAAUAUGCAGUGACCACUGUCAACUCAACUAACGAACUGUGAAGUGACAUUUGGCGUUAUGAAGAGUUGCAGACGUACAUUGUAAAUGGACACAAACAGACAAACAAUCGUGUUCAGAUAGGCCUACAUAAUUAUGUAGGUAAGGUAUUGCCCAAUUACUUGUACGAUUUGGAGCUGUCCCAAUUUUACUAGCAAGCUUGGUGUACAAAAUUUAAUGUGAACAUUGGCUUAUGGAUGAUUCUGCCUAAUAUAUGACAUCAAAGGUACAUCAGCUUUAGGACUUUAUUUAUAUGGAUAUUUGUGGUGUGACCAAUACUAGAAGAUAAAUGCCAUCCCCUGCCACCAGAGACAGCAGAUUUAGGCAUCUUUUCCCUAUAGCUACACUCUCCCACUAUUCUAUGUCAUUGAUUAAAAUUACAGAACUUAA